UAAAGAUUCAUCGGCUGCGGAUGGCCAUGCGGCGCAUUAGCUAGUCGGCGGGGUAACGGCCCACCGGGGCGACGAUGCGUAGGGGUUCUGAGAGGAAGGUCCCCCACACUGGUACUGAGACACGGACCAGACUCCUACGGGAGGCAGCAGUGAGGAAUAUUGGUCAAUGGCCGGGAGGCUGAACCAGCCAAGUCGCGUGAGGGAAGACGGCCCUACGGGUUGUAAACCUCUUUUGUCAGGGAGCAAGGUGCAGGUCGGGACCUGCUGUGAGAGUACCUGAAGAAAAAGCAUCGGCUAACUCCGUGCCAGCAGCCGCGGUAAUACGGAGGAUGCGAGCGUUAUCCGGAUUUAUUGGGUUUAAAGGGUGUGCAGGCGGAGGCACAAGUCAGCGGUAAAAUCGCGGGGCUCAACCCCGCUCCGCCGUUGAAACUGUGUCCCUUGAGUGCGCGAAGGGUAGGCGGAAUGCGUGGUGUAGCGGUGAAAUGCAUAGAUAUCACGCAGAACUCCGAUCGCGAAGGCAGCCUACCGGCGCGCAACUGACGCUCAUGCACGAAAGCGUGGGUAUCGAACAGGAUUAGAUACCCUGGUAGUCCACGCAGUAAACGAUGAAUGCUAUCUGUCCGGCCGGAAUGACGGCUGG
Molecule: ribosomal RNA, 640 nt
Filed under: uncultured bacterium
Lineage: Bacteria
Description: bacterial SSU rRNA
Rfam family: Bacterial small subunit ribosomal RNA
Source: RNAcentral